Molecule: transfer RNA, 71 nt
Filed under: Bos taurus (domestic cattle)
Lineage: Eukaryota; Metazoa; Chordata; Mammalia; Artiodactyla; Bovidae
Rfam family: tRNA
About the family: Transfer RNA (tRNA) molecules are approximately 80 nucleotides in length.
Source: Rfam by way of RNAcentral
UUCCAAGUGGCUCAGUGGUAAAGAAUCUGCCUGCCAAGCAGGAGACACAGGUUCAACCUCUGGGUUGGAAA